RNAcentral lists this ribosomal RNA (1721 nucleotides) under Escherichia coli. RNAcentral's name for it is "partial 23S ribosomal RNA". It matches the Rfam family "Bacterial large subunit ribosomal RNA", at positions 1216 to 2915 of the family's 2925-position model. The record is from RNAcentral. Lineage: Bacteria; Pseudomonadati; Pseudomonadota; Gammaproteobacteria; Enterobacterales; Enterobacteriaceae.
AUGCGUUGUUGGGUAGGGGAGCGUUCUGUAAGCCUGCGAAGGUGUGCUGUGAGGCAUGCUGGAGGUAUCAGAAGUGCGAAUGCUGACAUAAGUAACGAUAAAGCGGGUGAAAAGCCCGCUCGCCGGAAGACCAAGGGUUCCUGUCCAACGUUAAUCGGGGCAGGGUGAGUCGACCCCUAAGGCGAGGCCGAAAGGCGUAGUCGAUGGGAAACAGGUUAAUAUUCCUGUACUUGGUGUUACUGCGAAGGGGGGACGGAGAAGGCUAUGUUGGCCGGGCGACGGUUGUCCCGGUUUAAGCGUGUAGGCUGGUUUUCCAGGCAAAUCCGGAAAACUAAGGCUGAGGCGUGAUGACGAGGCACUACGGUGCUGAAGCAACAAAUGCCCUGCUUCCAGGAAAAGCCUCUAAGCAUCAGGUAACAUCAAAUCGUACCCCAAACCGACACAGGUGGUCAGGUAGAGAAUACCAAGGCGCUUGAGAGAACUCGGGUGAAGGAACUAGGCAAAAUGGUGCCGUAACUUCGGGAGAAGGCACGCUGAUAUGUAGGUGAAGUCCCUCGCGGAUGGAGCUGAAAUCAGUCGAAGAUACCAGCUGGCUGCAACUGUUUAUUAAAAACACAGCACUGUGCAAACACGAAAGUGGACGUAUACGGUGUGACGCCUGCCCGGUGCCGGAAGGUUAAUUGAUGGGGUUAGCGCAAGCGAAGCUCUUGAUCGAAGCCCCGGUAAACGGCGGCCGUAACUAUAACGGUCCUAAGGUAGCGAAAUUCCUUGUCGGGUAAGUUCCGACCUGCACGAAUGGCGUAAUGAUGGCCAGGCUGUCUCCACCCGAGACUCAGUGAAAUUGAACUCGCUGUGAAGAUGCAGUGUACCCGCGGCAAGACGGAAAGACCCCGUGAACCUUUACUAUAGCUUGACACUGAACAUUGAGCCUUGAUGUGUAGGAUAGGUGGGAGGCUUUGAAGUGUGGACGCCAGUCUGCAUGGAGCCGACCUUGAAAUACCACCCUUUAAUGUUUGAUGUUCUAACGUUGACCCGUAAUCCGGGUUGCGGACAGUGUCUGGUGGGUAGUUUGACUGGGGCGGUCUCCUCCUAAAGAGUAACGGAGGAGCACGAAGGUUGGCUAAUCCUGGUCGGACAUCAGGAGGUUAGUGCAAUGGCAUAAGCCAGCUUGACUGCGAGCGUGACGGCGCGAGCAGGUGCGAAAGCAGGUCAUAGUGAUCCGGUGGUUCUGAAUGGAAGGGCCAUCGCUCAACGGAUAAAAGGUACUCCGGGGAUAACAGGCUGAUACCGCCCAAGAGUUCAUAUCGACGGCGGUGUUUGGCACCUCGAUGUCGGCUCAUCACAUCCUGGGGCUGAAGUAGGUCCCAAGGGUAUGGCUGUUCGCCAUUUAAAGUGGUACGCGAGCUGGGUUUAGAACGUCGUGAGACAGUUCGGUCCCUAUCUGCCGUGGGCGCUGGAGAACUGAGGGGGGCUGCUCCUAGUACGAGAGGACCGGAGUGGACGCAUCACUGGUGUUCGGGUUGUCAUGCCAAUGGCACUGCCCGGUAGCUAAAUGCGGAAGAGAUAAGUGCUGAAAGCAUCUAAGCACGAAACUUGCCCCGAGAUGAGUUCUCCCUGACUCCUUGAGAGUCCUGAAGGAACGUUGAAGACGACGACGUUGAUAGGCCGGGUGUGUAAGCGCAGCGAUGCGUUGAGCUAACCGGUACUAAUGAACCGUGAGG